UACAGGGGGUGCAAACGUUAUUCGGAAUUAUUGGGCGUAAAGGGCGCGUAGGCGGCCCGGCAAGUGGAAGGUGAAAUCCCUCGGCUCAACCGAGGAACUGCCUUCCAAACUGCCUGGGCUUGAGUCCGGGAGAGGUGAGUGGAAUUCCCAGUGUAGCGGUGAAAUGCGUAGAUAUUGGGAGGAACACCAGUGGCGAAGGCGGCUCACUGGACCGGAACUGACGCUGAGGCGCGAAAGCGUGGGGAGCAAACGGG
Molecule: ribosomal RNA, 254 nt
Filed under: uncultured bacterium
Lineage: Bacteria
Description: partial 16S ribosomal RNA
Rfam family: Bacterial small subunit ribosomal RNA
Source: RNAcentral